AGUCACUGAUGAUUUUUGAUAUAAGAGUAGUGGACAGAAGUGAUUUCUGAGUCGUUUUACACUGAGACU
This is a small nucleolar RNA of Seriola dumerili (greater amberjack), 69 nucleotides long. Lineage: Eukaryota; Metazoa; Chordata; Actinopteri; Carangiformes; Carangidae. The record is from Ensembl.